This 67-nucleotide transfer RNA is filed under the name Hoplasoma unicolor. RNAcentral describes it as "tRNA-Leu". The record is from RNAcentral. Lineage: Eukaryota; Metazoa; Arthropoda; Insecta; Coleoptera; Chrysomelidae.
UGUUAUUUUGGCAGAUUAGUGCAUUAAAUUUAGAAUUUAAAAAUAUAAUUUAUUUUAUAAGUAAUAU